UACAGAGGUGGCAAGCGUUGUUCGGAAUUACUGGGCGUAAAGGGCGCGUAGGCGGCCAUCUAAGUCAGACGUGAAAUCCCCCGGCUUAACCUGGGAACUGCGUCUGAUACUGGACGGCUUGAGUAUGGGAGAGGGAUGUAGAAUUCCAGGUGUAGCGGUGAAAUGCGUAGAUAUCUGGAGGAAUACCGGUGGCGAAGGCGGCAUCCUGGACCAUUACUGACGCUGAGGCGCGAAAGCGUGGGGAGCAAACAGG
This 253-nucleotide ribosomal RNA is filed under the name uncultured bacterium. RNAcentral's name for it is "partial 16S ribosomal RNA". It matches the Rfam family "Bacterial small subunit ribosomal RNA", at positions 524 to 776 of the family's 1533-position model. The record is from RNAcentral.